UAGCUUUGGUCUGGGCUCUCCUCCUCUCAUUAGUCAGCGAUCUGCAGCUCCCUGAGGAGCAUCGCGGCUAUGCAUCCUCCUGUGGCGCCCUGCUGCCAGGGUAAUUAGUGCCCAGCAUAGCGUUGCCAAGGAAUGCCACAAUGCCAGUGUGAUUCUGCAUUACCAGUGAUCAAUUUUAGGAAAGAAGGAAAACGAUUUACAAACCCAACAAAUUAGACAUGAAGCAACAGAGAUGUCAUUGUGAGGUCAGGUUCAGACUGGGGUUUUCCUGUCUGAAAGGGAAUCCAGUGAACAGAAGGGGGCACUAUAACAAAAUGACAAACACCUUUUCAAUCUAAAAUGAGUCACAAAGUCUGACAAAGAAGGAAAAAAUUUUAUUAAACAUUGUAAGACAUCCAUGAUAGUAUGGUGCCCCCGAAGAUAAUCAAGGAUCC
Molecule: long non-coding RNA, 434 nt
Organism: Hyla sarda
Lineage: Eukaryota; Metazoa; Chordata; Amphibia; Anura; Hylidae
Exons: 3
Source: RefSeq, a predicted model, not a curated record